AUCCAGUUGACGAGUCCCAAAUAGAAUGAAACGGACGUCCUGGAU
Molecule: non-coding RNA, 45 nt
Organism: Schistosoma curassoni
Lineage: Eukaryota; Metazoa; Platyhelminthes; Trematoda; Strigeidida; Schistosomatidae
Source: Rfam